Molecule: long non-coding RNA, 199 nt
Filed under: Malus domestica (apple)
Lineage: Eukaryota; Viridiplantae; Streptophyta; Magnoliopsida; Rosales; Rosaceae
Description: long non-coding RNA (MDOM_LNC019512)
Source: RNAcentral
CUAUGAACUACAAAACACAAAAGGAUUCACCAACUACUAGACCUAGGCUCUGAUACCACUUGAAGGAAUUAUUUUGUAAAACAUGUUCAUUUGAGCAACAUCAUAUAGCAUGCAAUUAACAAUUAAAGGCGGAAUCAUGCUUGCAUGCACUCAAAAAACAAAACAUUACCCAUGAAAUUCAAAGCCUAGUAGAUUGGUG